UUGCCCUAGUAACGGCGAGUGAAGCGGCAACAGCUCAAAUUUGAAAUCUGGCUUCGGCCCGAGUCUGUAAUUUGCAGAGGAAGCUUUAGGCGCGGCACCUCCUGAGUCCCCUGGAACGGGGCGCCACAGAGGGUGAGAGCCCCGUAUAGUUGGAUGCCUAGCCUGUGUAAAGCUCCUUCGACGAGUCGAGUAGUUUGGGAAUGCUGCUCAAAAUGGGAGGUAAAUUUCUUCUAAAGCUAAAUACCGGCCAGAGACCGAUAGCGCACAAGUAGAGUGAUCGAAAGAUGAAAAGCACUUUGAAAAGAGGGUUAAAUAGCACGUGAAAUUGUUGAAAGGGAAGCGCUUGUGACCAGACUUGCGCCGGGCUGAUCAUCCGGUGUUCUCACCGGUGCACUCUGCCCGGCUCAGGCCAGCAUCGGUUCUCGCGGGGGGAUAAAGGCCCUGGGAACGUAGCUCCUCCGGGAGUGUUAUAGCCCGGGGCGCAAUGCCCUCGCGGGGACCGAGGUUCGCGCUCUGCAAGGAUGCUGGCGUAAUGGUCAUCAGCGACCCGUCUUGAAACACGGACCAAGGAGUCAAGGUUUUGCGCGAGUGUUUGGGUGUAAAACCCGCACGCGUAAUGAAAGUGAACGUAGGUGAGAGCUUCGGCGCAUCAUCGACCGAUCCUGAUGUUCUCGGAUGGAUUUGAGUAGGAGCGUUAAGCCUUGGACCCGAAAGAUGGUGAACUAUGCUUGGAUAGGGUGAAGCCAGAGGAAACUCUGGUGGAGGCUCGCAGCGGUUCUGACGUGCAAAUCGAUCGUCAAAUCUGAGCAUGGGGGGCGAAAGACUAAUCGAACCAUCUAGUAGCUGGUUACCGCCGAAGU
Molecule: ribosomal RNA, 860 nt
Filed under: Pseudothielavia terricola
Lineage: Eukaryota; Fungi; Ascomycota; Sordariomycetes; Sordariales; Chaetomiaceae
Description: partial large subunit ribosomal RNA
Rfam family: Eukaryotic large subunit ribosomal RNA
Source: RNAcentral